RNAcentral lists this ribosomal RNA (468 nucleotides) under uncultured bacterium. Its description in RNAcentral is "partial 16S ribosomal RNA". It matches the Rfam family "Bacterial small subunit ribosomal RNA", at positions 28 to 507 of the family's 1533-position model. The record is from RNAcentral.
GAUGAACGCUGGCGGCGUGCUUAACACAUGCAAGUCGAACGGAAAGGCCCUGCUUUUGUGGGGCGCUCGUGUGGCGAACGGGUGUGUAUAACGCGUGUAACCUGCCCUUGACUUUGGGAUAACACCAGGAAACUGGGGCUCAUACAGCAUAGGAGCUCCUGCUGCAUGGUGGUGGAUGGAAAGAUUCGGCGGUUGUGGAUGGACUCGCAGCUUAUCGGCUUGUUGGUGGAGUAGUGGCUUUCCAAGCGUUUGACGGGUAGCCGGCCUGAGAGCGCGACCGGGGACAAUAGGACUAAGAGACGGCGCAGUCUGCUACGGUAGGCAGCAGUCGGGAAUAUGACGCAACAGGCGGAAGCCUGAUGCGGCAGCGCUGCGUGCGUGAUGCCGGGUUUCGAGUUGUAAACCGCUUUGUCCGGUGACGAGGCGUGAUUGACGGUAAUUGGUAAGGAAGCACCGGCUAACUACGUG